RNAcentral lists this long non-coding RNA (583 nucleotides) under Nicotiana benthamiana. RNAcentral describes it as "long non-coding RNA (NBEN_LNC010121)". The record is from RNAcentral. Lineage: Eukaryota; Viridiplantae; Streptophyta; Magnoliopsida; Solanales; Solanaceae.
UAACAGUUAAACUAAAAAAAAAACAUGACAAUAUAAAAUUUAAAAGAUAACAAAUAUAUUACUACUAUUCAAAUUUACAAAGGCAAGACGUAAAAGCAAGAGAACAAAACUGACCCAACGAAAAUUUAACAGGAAUACUCACGUUUACAGCAACGUCGAGUUUCAACCGCUCGAACUCGAACGGAAAAAAAUGGACAGCAAUAACCAUAAACCGGAACCAAUGUACGGCAACCUCCACAAGACUCAAGCUCAGAAACGACUCCAGAGCUCGUUCCCUCACUUUGUUCAUGUGCGUGACUGUGUGAGCUCGAUCUUAUGGUAUUUAUUGAUUUUCCGGUGAGAUUGGGGAAUUUCCGGUGCAAGGUGGACGGAGAUAGUUGUUGUUGGAGUGAAAAAGUCGAUGGACUUCAAUGGGUGUUGUCGUUUGGUUCCAGUGGCUGAUUAUUUUCUCCUUGGUCAUUUUUUUGGUUAAGAAGAGGCCAUGAAAUUUGGCUUCCUACUAUGAACAAACAAUGGGGAGUGGGGUUUUCUCUGAUGUGAGAAUUGAGGUUGAGCUUUUUUCAGAGAAUAGGCUUUCUUCUUC